GCGUAGGUAGUAUAAUGGUUAUUAUUUCGGUUUCCCAUCGGAUGACCCGGAUUACCGGAGAUGGUACCGAAGAACUGAGUUCGAUUCUCGGCCUACGCA
Molecule: non-coding RNA, 99 nt
Organism: Ceratobasidium sp. 394
Lineage: Eukaryota; Fungi; Basidiomycota; Agaricomycetes; Cantharellales; Ceratobasidiaceae
Source: the annotation of a GenBank genome assembly